RNAcentral lists this long non-coding RNA (4669 nucleotides) under Equus caballus (horse). RNAcentral's name for it is "lncRNA (ENSECAG00000053244.1)". The record is from RNAcentral. Lineage: Eukaryota; Metazoa; Chordata; Mammalia; Perissodactyla; Equidae.
GGGACUUUGGCUUAAAUGAAAGGGAUGGUGCUCUAACAGUGGAAUUCCAGGAAUCAGCUCAUCAGUUUAUUCUGGUUUGGCGGAGGGGCUGAACUCCUCAGGGCAUUUGGGAAGGAGUCCACCCAGGACAUCAGACCUUGGGUGGAAUUUCCUAACGGGGCCACUGGCAAUCAGAGCUCAGGAUUUGUUUCUCUCUCUGUCCUUCUCAGUAGAGAAAGGGCUGACUCUAAGAGAAAGGAGACAAUUCUAAGCUCGGAGCUGGAAGAGACCCAAGAAAUCAUCUAGUCCAGUAGUUUACAGAGGGUAGAGGGGCUUAAAAGUGGUACAACCCUUUAACGAACUUAAUUCACACUGAAAUCCAAAAUAUAAAACAGCUAAGAGUUCUCGCUCUCGUUGAAGUGGGGGUGGGGGGCUGGACCCGCAUGUUCUGCUCUCCCGAUUACCCCCUGAAAUGGUCCAAGCUCCCCUAUAGAACUCCAAAGCUCGAAGAAUGCAUCUCAAGUCCACAAGGAGCUAGUUCAGUGAUCCAUUCUACAGACAAGGAAACUGAGUCAGAGCCUGAUGAGGAGAUGGUGGUCCUUCGGGUCCUCCACUCUCCCGUGGCCUGUUUGUGGUUCAUGUUAAUUCCCUGGACUCGUGAUGUGUCCUCCUUUCCAGCUCGACCUGCAAAAUCCAACCACCCUUCAGGCUCAGCUCAAACGCCACCUCUCGUCGAGCGCUCCCCCAUUCUCUCAUCCAGUUCUGCCCCCCCCCCCCACCCCGCCCGCUGUUCCUGGGGCUCACUGUGUUUGCACUGCUCUUAGGAUCAACUUCUCUCGCAUUUCUGUUCAUCCAGAGCAGAUCUCCCACUGGACCACUGGGCUCUCUGUGGUCAGGGACAUCUUUUUUGUCUUAAGCAUCCAGCCCGUGAAUAGGUGUGCAGGCACAGGGAAGCUGUUGACAUGUUUUCUGGGGUGAAGGUGAGACGCUUUGCCCAUGGGGCGGGGUGUCUGCCUCCUGGACAGCCCUAGUUCUCAUCAGCUCAGCGGGGACAGCGUUGCGUUUGAUUAGACGGUUGCUGGGAGACCUGAGGCCGGGCGGAGGAGGGGCCACAGAACCUUUAGAGCCUGGAGGGAGGGGCCCUUCCAUCCCAAACUGGCCCCUCCCCCAACCCCAAGAAGACGGAGAGCAGAAAGGGGGCGGGAGAAGAGAAGCCAGGCCCUCACAUCUCCCACCACCACUGAUUUCCCUCUUCUCUGGCAUUUUAAGAGCUCAGACUCAAACCCUUCAAGGGCUUUUGAAACAAUUAGAUUAGCAAGUGCCCAGAGCUCAGUCUAAUAGCUUAAAAGCCACUUCAGGCUCCAACGGACCCAGAGUAAAGCCUGGGGGUGGGGUGGGGAGAGACCCGAGAGGCACUGUCGCCCUGCUUCCCAGGCCUUUCUUGGUGACCAAGGGCUGGGCCACAGGUCAUGCCAAAAAGGGACCUUCGAUUGUCCCCAUGGGCAGAGCCACUGUAAUCUCUCUGUCCCUUGCCCACCCCACCCCUAGAGAACCCUCACACUUAACCCUUCUCUCAUACACCUGCUCGUGCAAAUCCCAGCAUCCUUGGGGUGGGGGUGGGGGGUCAGGGCAGGUGUGUCCACAACCACUUUUGAGAGUUAGAAACUGACUGGCCCAAGGUCAGCAGGUCCAGAAGGGUCAGAGGCGGCCUUGAGGUGUCUGGCUCAAAGAUGACGCUGCUCCUCUGGGAUCUUUUGUGAUUUGGGCCUGAGGGUCUUUUGCAAUCUCUAAGUAAGUUCCACCUCUCCAUCUUCCUGCUUACUCUUCCCCCCAAUCCUGGUUUCUGUAUCAAAUUCCUCUCUCUGGCCCAAGACAUUGCCAUGCUCCCUAUCAGGUAGGGUCACAUCUUCCCAGGAGCCUUCGAGCUCUUCCCUAAUUUGGCCUGACCUCACCUUAGCUCCAGCCCACCUCUUACCCUCUACUCCUCCACCAUCCAAAUGAAGACACCCAUUUAUGUGCCCAGCACCAGGCCAAGUGGUGGGGACAUUGGGAUGAAUAAGUCAUGGACACUGCUCUCAGGACACCUGCCACAGCAUGGCUUGAUGAGUGGUGCGUAAGUCCGUUCCCAGGAUCUGAGAACAGGUGAAACAAUUAGAUUGAGUCAAACCCUGGGCCACUGAAACUGAGCAUGUGAACUUAACCACUGUGCCACCGGACAGGCCCCUAGAGAUAGCUUUAGUACAGCAUAGACGCUCUAUUAUGAGCACACAAGUCAGGGAUGCCUGGCGGACCUGGAGGUGGGGCUGGGCUGUUGACAAGAAAGGAUUGCGGAGGUUUGAUCACAGAACUGAAUCUUAAAUGAGGAGGAAUUGGUCCAGACAGGAGAUGGGAGAUGGGCCAGAGGGGACAGGAAGCGCUGAGGUGCGUGCUUCACGUGUUACAGGGAGCUGGGAGCAGCACAGCCGGGCCAGAGCGUCAUUUAGAGGCUAGGAGUAGUGUGGGCAGGGGCUGGAGCGGAUGGGGGGGCUGGCCCCCAAGGGCCGGGAGCCAAGUGGAAGAGUUUGGGCUUCCUUCUGUGGGCAGUAGGGAGCCACAGAGGGUGUCAGGCCUGACCGCAUCCUAAUCUGAUUUGUGCUGGAGAAAGAUCUCUCUGGCUGUGGAGAAGGUGGGUGGGGAACUGGCAGGACUGGGGGCUGGGAGGCCAUCAUGAGGCUGUCGCAGUGAUCCGGUGGCAGGUGAGAGUGGACUGGACCACAGCAGCCGUGAUGGGGUUUGAAGAACUGUUUAGAAAGGAAAGUGGCCAGGAGGUUCAGACGCUGGCUGAUUGGAUAAAAGGAUUAGAAAACAGAGGAAUAGAGAGGGACCCACGUUCAGCUCCAGCACCCUUGGACCAGAUACGAGGGGCCCCCACUUCAGGACCUCUUCCAGCGCUCCUCACAAGCAUCUAUCAUAGGUGCCACACAGUCACGACUGGACAGCACACUUCUCCGUGCCCUGUCUUUUCACAGAGACAUGCAUGCAGCGUCCAGGGCAGCAUUUUACUCUCAGUGGGCACACCAUAAUUAUUUGUGGACCAAAAAGAGCCCUGUCAUGGUAAGCUGGAAUGGUCUUUCAGGAGUGCUCAGAACAGAACACACAGGUGUGUUCUUCUGGGCUCUCUCCUGUAUCUUCCUAUCCUGUGACAACCGCAACGGCCAAGGAUCAAGAAAGAAAAGAACAAAGGGCUUUGAAUCGCUGACUCCUCGGUGGAAAGAAUCCCAAAGGAUCCAAGGGAAUCCAGUGGGAUGCUCGGUGGUUCCUUAUUUCUGGUCGGUAGUGGGGUUUGCCAAUGGCUGGCAAAUGUAGAAACCAUUAGUACGGAAAUUUUUUUUUUUUGGUGAGGACGACUAGCCCUGAGCUAACAUCUGCUGCCUAUCCUCCUCUUUUUGCAGAGGACCUAACAACCUGAGCUAACAUCCUGGCCCUGAGCUAACAUCCGUGCCCAUCUUCCUCUACUUUAUACAUGGGACACUUGCCACAGCAUGGCUUGACAAGUGGUGUGUAGGUCUGCGCCCGGGAUCCAAACCAGGGAACCCCAGGCGACCGAAGCGGAACAUGAAAACUUAACCGCUGUGCCACCGGGCCGGCCCAGUACAGAAAUUCCUAACUUGGGGGUCUGGGAAUCCCUGGGAUGCCCAUGGAUACGCUUUAAGAGCCCCGAAAUCUCUUGAAAAUACAUGUAAAAUUGAGCGUGUGAGUAUAUGUGUGCACAUGAACUGCUGUAAGUUGGUAAUCUGGAGCUUCCAGCAAAUUCUCAAAGGGGCCUGUGACCCAAGAAAAGUAGAUUUGCCCUACCCCAAAUCUCCCAUCUGAAAGGGGAGGAUACUGAGGCCAAGAGAGGGGACAUGAACUGCUGGGUCACAUUAGGGGACAGAUGAAACCCAGGGUCCCUCAGCUUGUGUGGCUGUGUGGGUCACUUCGGUCUGCACAACCUGAAAGGCAGGCCUGGCUCCCCAGGAGGCUGUGUGAGAGGCCACAGCACAGUACCAUCUCUCCUUGCUCCUGGAGAGACAUCUCAAAGGCACGAUGUUCCCUGGGGGUGAGGGUGGGUGCUGAGGUCUGUUCCCACGGAAAACAGAACAAGAGAAAACCAGACCAAAACUGGAAACGAAAGGAAGUCCCUGUCACCGAGAAGCUUGGGCACAUUAGCUGGCCUCAGUUUCCAGAUGUGGAAAUGGAAAUGAUAAUAAUGCUUACAUGUCUAAGUCGUGGGGAAGAUUAAAGGUGAUCAAGUGAGCGGAAACAGCUUACAAAAAGGAAGCUGUACACAAAUGCUGGUGACAAUCACUACAGUGGAGGCCUGGUGAAUAUUGUUGGCUGCUGGGAGGAAAUUGUGGACCACCUGCAUUACCCUAUUCUGGACAACUAUGAAAUUCUCCUGCAGGCCCUUGCAGCCUAAGAGGCCUGGUUUUGGAGUCAAACCUGAACUACAUCUCAGUUCCACCACGGGUGCAUGUGUGUGACCUUGGACAAAUCACUUAACCUCUCUGGGCCUCAGAUUGUUCAUCUGCAAAGUGGGGACACACACCUACCUGAUUGGGACAUUAUGAGGAUUUGAUGAGUUAGUGCAAAUGAAAAUGCCUGUAACGGUGACUGGCAUAUAAAAGCGCUCAAUAAACAUUAUCAUUAUUUUUUGUUCCUGUUCCUUGCC